RNAcentral lists this transfer RNA (79 nucleotides) under Podarcis lilfordi (Lilford's wall lizard). Its description in RNAcentral is "tRNA.Asn". The stretch from base 13 to 71 matches the Rfam family "tRNA", at positions 8 to 63 of the family's 71-position model. From Rfam's summary of the family: Transfer RNA (tRNA) molecules are approximately 80 nucleotides in length. Their secondary structure includes four short double-helical elements and three loops (D, anti-codon, and T loops). Further hydrogen bonds mediate the characteristic L-shaped molecular structure. tRNAs have two regions of fundamental functional importance: the anti-codon, which is responsible for specific mRNA codon recognition, and the 3' end, to which the tRNAs corresponding amino acid is attached (by aminoacyl-tRNA synthetases). tRNAs cope with the degeneracy of the genetic code in two manners: having more than one tRNA (with a specific anti-codon) for a particular amino acid; and 'wobble' base-pairing, i.e. permitting non-standard base-pairing at the 3rd anti-codon position. The record is from RNAcentral. Lineage: Eukaryota; Metazoa; Chordata; Lepidosauria; Squamata; Lacertidae.
GCCCAUCCCCAAUGGCACAAUAGGUCAGUGCAUCUGGCUGUUAACCAGAAGGUUAGUGGUUCGAGCCUACCCAGGGACA